AAAAAGGCAAACUUUAGAUUUCUGUGUCCAACUUUGACUAUCUAUCUUAUAUGAAUUUUUUUUAUAAUUCAUAUUUUCAUUGUUGUUAGAUAAUAAAACAUGAUUAAUAUUUUAUGCGUGACUUGUCUUUUUAAUUUUUUUUCUAAUUUUUUCAAAUAAGACGAACGGUCAAACGUUGGACACGGAAACCAGAGUUUGUCUUUUUU
MicroRNA precursor from Oryza sativa Japonica Group (Japanese rice), 206 nucleotides. It matches the Rfam family "MIR812 microRNA precursor family". The record is from Rfam. Lineage: Eukaryota; Viridiplantae; Streptophyta; Magnoliopsida; Poales; Poaceae.